This 243-nucleotide ribosomal RNA is filed under the name uncultured bacterium. RNAcentral describes it as "partial 16S ribosomal RNA". It matches the Rfam family "Bacterial small subunit ribosomal RNA", at positions 528 to 770 of the family's 1533-position model. The record is from RNAcentral.
GAGGGUGCAAGCGUUAAUCGGAAUUACUGGGCGUAAAGCGCACGCAGGCGGUCUGUCAAGUCGGAUGUGAAAUCCCCGGGCUCAACCUGGGAACUGCAUUCGAAACUGGCAGGCUAGAGUCUUGUAGAGGGGGGUAGAAUUCCAGGUGUAGCGGUGAAAUGCGUAGAGAUCUGGAGGAAUACCGGUGGCGAAGGCGGCCCCCUGGACAAAGACUGACGCUCAGGUGCGAAAGCGUGGGGAGCA